Gallus gallus (chicken) is the source of this 102-nucleotide microRNA precursor. NCBI's taxonomy places the organism in Eukaryota, Metazoa, Chordata, Aves, Galliformes, Phasianidae. The record is from Ensembl.
UGUCUUGCUUUGUAGCUACCAGCUGUGGCAGAGUUCUCCACCAGUGAGACUAUGGGGCACUCUGCUGACCGCUUGGCUGCUGCUUUUGCGAUCUCCCGUGUG